AACGUAGGAGACAAACGUUAUCCGGAGUUACUGGGCGUAAAGGGCGUGUAGGGGGUAGAGUAAGUCUGGCGUGAAAUUUUUCGGCUUAACCGGGAAAGGUCGUCGGAUACUGCUUAACUAGAGGACGGUAGAGGCGUGUGGAAUUCCGGGUGUAGUGGUGAAAUGCGUAGAGAUCCGGAGGAACACCAGUGGCGAAGGCGACACGCUGGGCCGUACCUGACACUGAUGCGCGACAGCAUGGGGAGCAAACAGG
RNAcentral lists this ribosomal RNA (253 nucleotides) under uncultured bacterium. RNAcentral's name for it is "partial 16S ribosomal RNA". It matches the Rfam family "Bacterial small subunit ribosomal RNA", at positions 524 to 776 of the family's 1533-position model. The record is from RNAcentral.